Lycium barbarum (goji berry) is the source of this 85-nucleotide small nucleolar RNA. RefSeq annotates it as small nucleolar RNA snoR26. NCBI's taxonomy places the organism in Eukaryota, Viridiplantae, Streptophyta, Magnoliopsida, Solanales, Solanaceae. The transcript has a single exon. The record is from RefSeq and is a predicted model, not a curated record.
UGAUCAAUGAUGAAUCUCACUCGUUAUCCUUGCACUAUAAGUCUCAAUAAAGAAAAAUAUGGGGACCAAUAAUCUUGAGAUGGUU